RNAcentral lists this unclassified non-coding RNA (1211 nucleotides) under Hevea brasiliensis (rubber tree). The record is from RNAcentral. Lineage: Eukaryota; Viridiplantae; Streptophyta; Magnoliopsida; Malpighiales; Euphorbiaceae.
CUUUAUGACCUCUUUUAUUCAUAAAUAAAAACAGAAACACAAUUUAUUAUUCAAUAAAUAUCCAAGUAUUUACAUGUGUGCUAAACUUAUUACAUCAAAAUAUAUGACUAUAGCAUGUAGAAAAUCCUUGGAUGAAGCUUAAAGUCAAUUGGUAGCUUUAGAAUAAGUGUGGAUAGACAACUCCUUAAUAUUUCUAAAGGAGAAAGGUGGUAUCGGCACAUGAUAAGGAAGUGUUCAUAUCCUUCACAUAAAAAUUGUAGUAAUUGAUCAAGGAAAAAUUUUGAGGUAUAAAAAAUUGGUCAAUAAGUUUUAAGGCCAAUCUUUGAAAAAUAAUGGACACACAACCUACAGAACACACAAUAUACAAUAGAAUGGCAUAACUCAACUCAGGUGUGGAGGUUCGAUUCAGGUUCAAUAAAGAGAACUAUCUCUGGCUAUUGUAGAAAAAGGGUUGAUACCAAACAUUGAAAAGCUUGAUUAUGCAAAGACCUUUAGUAUGAAAGAGGAACUAAUGCCCUAGUACAGAGGUGCUUAGAGGAGUUAUGACUAGGGAAGGGGCCACGCCAAUAUUGGUAAUUAGUGUCACAAUAGGUGCCAUACCAGGUGCCAUACCAAGUGUUGCAAUAGAAGCCGUACCAAGUGUUACAGCAGGUGUCACAGCAGGUGCUGUGGUAGGCGUAACACUAAGUGUAGUACCAGAUGAGGUAGCAGGUGCUAUGUCAAGUGCGGUAAAUAGCAUUUUCAAAAUACAAAAUCUGAAGAUAAACAUAGCAUCAACAGAGUACCCAUUACAUCUAAGUGCAUAAAUAAAGCUCAAACCACACAAAGGCACCAAAUUCACUCUCAAAAUAGCAAAAUUCAAGGUAUCUGUAACUUUUUUCCAAAUUUUCUCAAAUUCCUUCAAAUUCUCAACAAAUUGACAAUGCCCAAAUAAGACCCAAUAUCUAUUUAACCAGGAAAUGGCUAUUAGAGUUAAGAAAUGGUUCAAGAAGUAUGAAUCAAGAAAAUGGAGUAGAGAAAGUACUUAAAAUGGCAUCGGGCAACAACAAGAGAAUAAGAACUCACGUGGAAGGCUAGGUGACUAGCUAAGGAGGCCUUCAGACCUUCGAAUCAAUUGACAGUGGCGGAUUUUGGUGAAGGAGUGGCACGCCAAAGGUAGAGAAGCAAACCGAAGAAGAAGAAAAAAAGAAAGAUGAAAAAUUACAUAAAAA